UUGAAAGUGAAGGACUACAAUCUGAGUUAAAGAAAUAAUCUUUCGUAGGCAUAAUCAUUUUUUAGGGGAGUUUUGAGGUAAAUUACUACAACAGAGGCUGGAAGGUAAUGAAUAUUGACGAGAGGGUGGUUAAGUCUAAGCCAUAGUGAUUUAGAAGAGUAGGACAAUAGUGGAUGGGGAGUCUCAUUCAAUGCGUUGAUCAUGAGUAGCAUAAAGUAAUAAUUAAGAAAGGUUAAUAGUAGUGCACAGUAUAUCAAUUAAUAGGUACUAGUACAGACAAGAGAACCUGAGGAGAUGUCACUGAGCCCCUGAAUUAGCAGGGAAAUGACCACUGUAAAUGUUUAUGACAGGACGCAGGGGUCCCGGCUGGUGGGGCAAAUUUACGACAGGGCACUUUUGCAAGUUUACGAUAGGAGGAGCAGAUGGUUGAUCGGAAGAGACUGAGCGGCCGGUCAUUCGCCAGCUGAUGUCGGAGUCGGUUGAUGAUCGUUGGCUGGUCAGAAUCUGGUGGGGACACACUUGAGCCAGCCUGAAGAAUCUCACCAACAAAGACGUCUCCUUCCUGCUGUGUACCAUGGCACCUGCCCAGCCGGGCUGGAACAAUGGAUGAGGUACUAGCGACACCCACAGGCGGCGGAAAUCCACUGCAACCUGGAUUAACUGAUCACAGUCUUCACUGGACUUGAAUGGGAUCUAAUAUUUUAAGAACUUUACAUGAAUGCCACUAGUGACUGUAUUUUUGCAAACUUGAAUGUCUGAUGUCAAAUCUGUUGUCAACCGAACACGAAUGCCACAUUGCAAAUAUUAGUGUUCCCAACAAUCACAUACACUUGAAACAUUCAUUACCGGGAUUGGUUUUAAACCACAAAAUAAUCCUAAAAUGGAAAAGUAACACUCAGAGGUGGUCUAGCUUCCCUUCCGGUCCACGAGGUGACGAGGACACAUCGGACCCUUCCGCACUGCUCCGAGCUACCCUUUUUGGGGGCCUGGGCACUCCGUAGGGACGGUAGCGGGCACUACACGUCUGCUCCGAACGUCUUGCAAGCAGAGACGCCCGGGGUGGGAACUUUUUGUGCUCCUUUUCUUUUUCUUCCUCCUUUCCGCCAAAUCCACCUGUUUCCCGUGCAGACCGAGCCGGCCGAACACCCGGAAGCUCGACCUGCCUCUCAAAUCCAACAUUGAGGUCUACUAAAAGUACAGAUUAGUGCAUAUUUGGGUUCAAAUUAACAAGAACAGGAAUCCUCAGCUAUAUGCAUUGUCACUACACGACCAUCCCACCCUCACAUCAAAAGUCAGUUUCCUUUCCCAAUGUUCAUCUGUCCUUCGUUUGUUUUGUUUUUCUCUGCAUUGCUUCCCUGUAGAUUCCCCAUGUUAGAUCCUUAUAUUUUCUAUAAAAUUCACUACCUGCAUUGUUGUGUGUGUUUGGGUUCGAGAAAAAAAAAAACUCUGGUCAUCUAGAACUCUUAUCAAUUCAUGUAGCAACCUUCAAAUUACGAGAGUGAGGAUAAAAGGUUUAUUGUCACUUUGUCCUGAAGUUUUAUACAUCUAAAAAGUGACAUGGUGCCCCUUUCUAGAUAAAAUAGCUUGAUUUAUAAUGCUGUAAUUUAAAAUUAUGCUAAACUGGAAGUAACGCAGGUGUCGCUUCCAUCUUAUUCUUUUCUCCUAAAUUAAUUA
Long non-coding RNA from Phyllopteryx taeniolatus (common seadragon), 1674 nucleotides. RefSeq lists it as uncharacterized. The record is from RefSeq and is a predicted model, not a curated record. The transcript has 3 exons. NCBI's taxonomy places the organism in Eukaryota, Metazoa, Chordata, Actinopteri, Syngnathiformes, Syngnathidae.